Sinocyclocheilus rhinocerous is the source of this 119-nucleotide long non-coding RNA. RefSeq lists it as uncharacterized. The record is from RefSeq and is a predicted model, not a curated record. NCBI's taxonomy places the organism in Eukaryota, Metazoa, Chordata, Actinopteri, Cypriniformes, Cyprinidae. The transcript is spliced from 3 exons.
AAAUUGUGGCCAGUGAAAAUGCUGAGUGGCUAGUAAUUUUGGAAAACCACUAGCCAAAGUGACUGGUGAGCAAAAAAAUUUAUGUCAAGCCCUGUAUAGAAUAGAUAUUUUUACAGACA